This 519-nucleotide ribosomal RNA is filed under the name uncultured bacterium. RNAcentral's name for it is "bacterial SSU rRNA". It matches the Rfam family "Bacterial small subunit ribosomal RNA", at positions 8 to 518 of the family's 1533-position model. The record is from RNAcentral.
AGGGUUCGAUUCUGGCUCAGGAUGAACGCUAGCUACAGGCUUAACACAUGCAAGUCGAGGGGCAGCAUAUCGAAAGCUUGCUUUGAUGAUGGCGACCGGCGCACGGGUGAGUAACGCGUAUCCAACCUUCCCUAUACUAGAGGAUAGCCCGGCGAAAGUCGGAUUAAUACUCUAUGUUCUUCGUAGAAGACAUCUGAAAUGAAGCAAAGGUUUACCGGUAUAGGAUGGGGAUGCGUCUGAUUAGGUUGUUGGCGGGGUAACGGCCCACCAAGCCCACGAUCAGUAGGGUUCUGAGAGGAAGGUCCCCCACAUUGGAACUGAGACACGGUCCAAACUCCUACGGGAGGCAGCAGUGAGGAAUAUUGGUCAAUGGACGAGAGUCUGAACCAGCCAAGUAGCGUGCAGGAUGACGGCCCUAUGGGUUGUAAACUGCUUUUAUACAGGGAUAAAGUGCACUACGUGUAGUGUUUUGUAGGUACUGUAUGAAUAAGGACCGGCUAAUUCCGUGCCAGCCGCGGC